AUCAAAGAUCCUUCUUCUGGCAAGGUUGAGCUUGCGAUUGCCAGUGGUCUGGGGAACUCAUUCCCAGUUAGAGCUUUUGAGCUCGAGGAUGAUAAGGAUGAUCGCCAGAAUAACAGAAACUAAUUAACUUAUAGUCAAAUUACUAUAAGAAAAUAAAUCUGAUGGGAAGUCUUUUAGGAUUUAAGUAGCCUUUCAGGAAGUUGUACUUCUACCAAUUGUCUUAUAAGAUCAAACAGCAGUUUGUAUGUUUACUAAUAGUCUGAUAAACUUUAAGAUGAGUAGCAUGAAACUCCGGAGUUCUCUUUUCAAAAUCCCUUUUAUUUCUCAGCAAUCAAAUCUAAUAAAAGUAAAAAAGUAAUAUUAAUUUACAGUUUUUUUUUGGACUGAAUUAGAAAUAAGAUCAGUUCCCUACAUAUUAAGCAGAAAUGCGUAUCAG
RNAcentral lists this unclassified non-coding RNA (436 nucleotides) under Hevea brasiliensis (rubber tree). Lineage: Eukaryota; Viridiplantae; Streptophyta; Magnoliopsida; Malpighiales; Euphorbiaceae. The record is from RNAcentral.